Molecule: ribosomal RNA, 460 nt
Filed under: uncultured bacterium
Lineage: Bacteria
Description: partial 16S ribosomal RNA
Rfam family: Bacterial small subunit ribosomal RNA
Source: RNAcentral
CCUACGGGUGGCUGCAGUGAGGAAUAUUGGUCAAUGGGCGCGAGCCUGAACCAGCCAAGUAGCGUGAAGGAGGACUGCCCUACGGGUUGUAAACCUCUUUUAUAAAGGAAUAAAGUGAGGCACGCGUGCCUUUUUGGAAGUACUCUAUGAAUAAGGAUCGGCUAACUCCGUGCCAGCAGCCGUGGUAAUACGGAGGAUCCGAGCGUUAUCCGGAUUUAUUGGGUUUAAAGGGAGCGUAGAUGGGUUGUUAAGUCAGUGGUGAAAGUGUGCGGCUCAACCGUACGAUUGCAAUUGAUACUGGCAGCCUAGAGUACAGUUGAGGUAGGCGGAAUUCGUGGUGUAGCAGUGAAAUGCUUAGAUAUCGCGAAGAACUCCGAUUGCGAAGGCAGCCUACUGGACUUCCACUGACGUUGAUGCUCGAAAGUGUGGGUAUCGAACAGGAUUAGAUACCCCGGUAGUC